RNAcentral lists this ribosomal RNA (498 nucleotides) under uncultured bacterium. RNAcentral describes it as "partial 16S ribosomal RNA". It matches the Rfam family "Bacterial small subunit ribosomal RNA", at positions 28 to 507 of the family's 1533-position model. The record is from RNAcentral.
GACGAACGCUGGCGGCGUGCCUAAUACAUGCAAGUCGAACGAGAGCAACCGGUGCUUGCACUGGUCAAUCUAGUGGCGAACGGGUGAGUAACACGUGGGUAACCUGCCCAUCAGAGGGGGAUAACAUCCGGAAACGGAUGCUAAAACCGCAUAGGUCUUCGAACCGCAUGGUUUGAAGAGGAAAAGAGGCGCAAGCUUCUGCUGAUGGAUGGACCCGCGGUGCAUUAGCUAGUUGGUGAGGUAACGGCUCACCAAGGCCGUGAUGCAUAGCCGACCUGAGAGGGUGAUCGGCCACAUUGGGACUGAGACACGGCCCAAACUCCUACGGGAGGCAGCAGUAGGGAACCUUCCGCAAUGGACGCAAGUCUGACGGAGCAACGCCGCGUGAGUGAAGAAGGUUUUCGGAUCGUAAAACUCUGUUGUUAGAGAAGAACAAGUGCUAGAGUAACUGUUAGCGCCUUGACGGUAUCUAACCAGAAAGCCACGGCUAACUACGUG